Molecule: ribosomal RNA, 499 nt
Filed under: Illex sp. AL9407-Illex-2K
Lineage: Eukaryota; Metazoa; Mollusca; Cephalopoda; Oegopsida; Ommastrephidae
Description: partial 16S ribosomal RNA
Rfam family: Bacterial large subunit ribosomal RNA
Source: RNAcentral
AAAUAAAGAGUUGGGCCUGCUCGGUGAAUAAUUUUUAACAGCUGCGGUAUUUUAACUGUACUAAGGUAGCAUAAUAAUUUGCCUUAUAAUUUGAGGCUAGAAUGAAUGGUUUGACGAAGGUUAAUCUGUCUCUAUCUUAUUUUUUAGAAUUUAAUUUUUAAAGUGAAAAAGCUUGAAUUUUUUAAAGGGACGAGAAGACCCUAAUGAGCUUAUAAUUUUAUUAUUAUUAUUUAAUAUAUUUAAAUGAUAAUAUAUAAAUUUUAAUUGGGGUGAUUAAGGAAUAAAGAAUUAUAUAAUAACUUCCUUAGAUUAAAUAUAUAUAGAUAAAGUAACCAAUAAUAUAUUGCUUAUAAUAUAGUUACCAUAGGGAUAACAGCGUAAUUUGUUUAGAGAGUUCUUAUUGAAAAACAAGAUUGCGACCUCGAUGUUGGAUUAAAGUAACCUUAAGGUGCAGAAGCUUUAGUAAGGUAAAUCAGUUCGAUUUUUAAUACUUUACAUG